ACCUUGAUUUUGUAUGUAACCCCCAAGGAGAUUACAUAGAUUCCCGGGACCCUGUCUGCUGGCAGCUCAGGGAGAGGAAAGGGGUCCCUGGUAAGGAGGGGGAGCCAAGGCAGACUUAGAGUCUGCCCAGCAACCAAUAGGGAGUGAGAGGCCCUCCCAGGGAGUUGAGAAAAGGGGCAAAGCCAUUUUGGAGUCAGUCUAGAGUCAGCCAGGAAAAGGGCAGGACUGGCUGUGUGGGGGAGCUGGGAAGAAUCCGUGGAGGUUUUUCAUUAUCCCAUGAAUUUAGUUUGGAGCUGCUUGUGGCAGGAUUAUGUAUUAUUGUCUCAAGAGCUAAGAAAAAUGAACUGGUGAGAGAGAGACUGAGCCAGUGAUGCCCCAGCUCUUGGAGUCAAGUGGAUGUGUGAGGAAUUCAG
Molecule: long non-coding RNA, 413 nt
Organism: Dermochelys coriacea (leatherback sea turtle)
Lineage: Eukaryota; Metazoa; Chordata; Testudines; Dermochelyidae
Exons: 3
Source: RefSeq, a predicted model, not a curated record